CCUACGUGAGGCAGCAGUGAGGAAUAUUGGUCAAUGGGCGCGAGCCUGAACCAGCCAAGUCGCGUGAGGGAAAACGGUCCUAUGGAUUUUAAACCUCUUUUGUCGGGGAGCAAAAGACGCCACGUGUGGCGUUCCGAGAGUACCCGAAGAAAAAGCAUCGGUUAACUCCGUGCCAGCAGCCGCGGUAAUACGGAGGAUGCGAGCGUUAUCCGGAUUUAUUGGGUUUAAAGGGUGCGAAGGCGGAAGAUCAAGUCAGCGGUAAAAUUGAGAGGCUCAACCUCUUCGAGCCGUUGAAACUGGUUUUCUUGAGUGAGCGAGAAGUAUGCGGAAUGCGUGGUGUAGCGGUGAAAUGCAUAGAUAGCACGCAGAACUCCGAUUGCGAAGGCAGCAUACCGGCGCUCAACUGACGCUCAUGCACGAAAGUGUGGGUAUCGAACAGGAUUAGAUACCCCUGUAGUC
Molecule: ribosomal RNA, 459 nt
Filed under: uncultured bacterium
Lineage: Bacteria
Description: partial 16S ribosomal RNA
Rfam family: Bacterial small subunit ribosomal RNA
Source: RNAcentral